CUCGGUUGUGCAACAGGAGCCUGGGGACUGCAGGAGCUGCCAGCUCAGGGGCAGCUCCUUCUCUCCCCAGCACCUCAUGCCCACCUCUGCUGGGAAAUCGCUGGCCUGGUUCCUGGGGUUUCACUGAUUGGUUUCAGAGGCCCUCCUGGAAUAGGGGACCUCCUGAGAGGGGAAUGAAGAAACCUUGGCAGAGAGAAUGGCCAGUGACCCCAAUGGCAGUAUGCUGGGUCCAGAACCAGUGCUCUUUGGCUUUCUCCAUGAUGAAUGAGCACACUCACCUCCACAGGCUUGUCGGUGACCGAAGGGGCCGUGCUGCCCAGGGCCUGCAGACUUGCACACCCGGGCUUGUUACAAGCCCCUCAUCCAGCGCCGCCAGCCCCGCCUCGCCCAUCCCUGAGCCUUGAAGGAACCUCAGGUUGCUGCGGGAGCCAGGCGGGCCCAAGCCUCCUCUCCUCUUCCACCUCCUGCUGCCCUCACUUCUCACUCCUUGGUGCCCGCUGCCCCCUCAGCUGACGUAUGUCCCAUAAGGGGACGUGUAUCCCAUUUCGUGGGUGGCGCCUGCCCUUCCCCCAAAGCGUGGCACCCAGGAAGCCCUAAAACACGCAGUGGCUGUGAUCGGACAGUGAGACUCGCCCUAUGUACUACUUGCCAUGGGUGGAGUCACCUCUCCUGAAAAGGCAUAUUCAAGUCCUAGUCCAGCCCUGUGAAUGUGACCUGAAUAAGGGCAUCUUUGAAGGUAUCCUGAGUUACUGACCAACAAACCACAGCAGUUGGAAGUCAGGAUGGGGUUACCCUGCAGGGUUCAGAGGGACAGCAUCCUCUUUACACCUUGAUUUCAAACUUUUGACCUGAGACCUGUGGGGCCACACUGCCCUGAAUUUGGCAGCCUCCAGCAGGCGGUGCUGGGUGGGGCAGUCCUGGGAAAUAAAACCCUGUACUCAUGUCUUUACUACUUGUCUUUUCUGCCACGUACCAG
This 976-nucleotide long non-coding RNA is filed under the name Dasypus novemcinctus (nine-banded armadillo). Its description in RNAcentral is "lncRNA (ENSDNOG00000050221.1)". The record is from RNAcentral. Lineage: Eukaryota; Metazoa; Chordata; Mammalia; Cingulata; Dasypodidae.